GGAAAGGAGAUUGUUAUUAAGGC
Molecule: non-coding RNA, 23 nt
Filed under: Arabidopsis thaliana (thale cress)
Lineage: Eukaryota; Viridiplantae; Streptophyta; Magnoliopsida; Brassicales; Brassicaceae
Source: RNAcentral